AUUUCCCCAAAUAAUUCAGUUUCUGCCAUUUCAAUGUUCUUGUUCUUGUUGUCCUCAAUUCCUUCCAUUUCACUGAUACAAUUCUCAAAUCACAGUAUAAUAUCUCAAAUUGCAAAAUAUUGCGACUCAAGAAAUAAGAUAGGCAAUGAAUAAUAUCUCAGGGCAGAUAAAUCUCCAAUCACAGCUUUUAUAUGUAACCCAAGACAAAAAAGAU
This 214-nucleotide long non-coding RNA is filed under the name Mytilus galloprovincialis (Mediterranean mussel). The record is from RNAcentral. Lineage: Eukaryota; Metazoa; Mollusca; Bivalvia; Mytilida; Mytilidae.